This 460-nucleotide ribosomal RNA is filed under the name uncultured bacterium. Its description in RNAcentral is "partial 16S ribosomal RNA". It matches the Rfam family "Bacterial small subunit ribosomal RNA", at positions 338 to 795 of the family's 1533-position model. The record is from RNAcentral.
CCUACGGGAGACAGCAGUGAGGAAUAUUGGUCAAUGGACGAGAGUCUGAACCAGCCAAGUAGCGUGAAGGAUGACUGCCCUAAGGGUCGCAAACUUCUUUUAUAAAGGGAUAAAACGAGGCACGCGUGCCUUUUUGCAUGUACUCUAUGAAUAAGCAUCGGCUAACUCCGUGCCAGCAGCCGCGGUAAUACGGAGGAUCCGAGCGUUAUCCGGAUUUAUUGGGUUUAAAGGGAGCGUAGAUGGGUUGUUAAGUCAGUUGUGAAAGUUUGCGGCUCAACCGUAGAAUUGCAGUUGAAACUGGGAGUCGUGAGUGCAGUGGAGGUAGGCGGAAUGCGUGGUGUAGCGGUGAAAUGCUUAGAUAUCACGAAGAACCCCGAUUGCGAAGGCAGCGUACUAAGCUGUGACUGACAUUGAGGCUCGAAAGUGUGGGUAUCAAACAGGAUUAGAUACCCCUGUAGUC